UACAGAGGUCUCAAGCGUUGUUCGGAUUCAUUGGGCGUAAAGGGUGCGUAGGCGGCGCGGUAAGUCGGGUGUGAAAUCUUGGAGCUUAACUCCGAAACUGCAUUCGAUACUGCCGUGCUUGAGGACUGGAGAGGAGACUGGAAUUUACGGUGUAGCGGUGAAAUGCGUAGAUAUCGUAAGGAAGACCAGUGGCGAAGGCGGGUCUCUGGACCGUUCCUGACGCUGAGGCACGAAGGCCAGGGGAGCAAACGGG
This 253-nucleotide ribosomal RNA is filed under the name uncultured bacterium. Its description in RNAcentral is "partial 16S ribosomal RNA". It matches the Rfam family "Bacterial small subunit ribosomal RNA", at positions 524 to 776 of the family's 1533-position model. The record is from RNAcentral.